GACGAACGCUGGCGGCGUGCCUAACACAUGCAAGUCGAACGGAGUUACCCUUCGGGGUAGCUUAGUGGCGAACGGGUGAGUAACGCGUGAAGAACCUGGCCUUUCAGUGGGGGACAACAGUUGGAAACGACUGCUAAUACCGGCAUAAUGUCAUUUGGGGGCAUCCCCGAAUGACCAAAGNUUUAUUGCUGAAAGAUGGCUUCGCGUCUGAUUAGCUAGUUGGUGAGGUAACGGCCCACCAAGGCGACGAUCAGUAGCCGGUCUGAGAGGAUGAACGGCCACAUUGGGACUGAGAUACGGCCCAGACUCCUACGGGAGGCAGCAGUGGGGAAUAUUGGGCAAUGGGGGAAACCCUGACCCAGCAACGCCGCGU
Molecule: ribosomal RNA, 373 nt
Filed under: uncultured bacterium
Lineage: Bacteria
Description: bacterial SSU rRNA
Rfam family: Bacterial small subunit ribosomal RNA
Source: RNAcentral